UAUAUGAAGGUGUAUAUAGUUUGGCCUGCUCACUGAUUAAAUUAAAGAGCCGCAGUAUUCUGACUGUGCGAAGGUAGCAUAAUAAAUUGUCUUUUAAAUGGAGGCUUGAAUGAAAGGUUGGACAAAGUAUCAUCUGUUUCUUAAAUAUUUAUUGAACUUGACUUUCAAGUGAAAAGGCUUGAAUAAAUUAAAAAGACGAUAAGACCCUAUAAAUCUUUACAAUAAAUAUAUUUUAUAUUUUAAUUUAUAAGUGUAAAAAAUAUUAAAUUUGUAGUUGUUUCGCUGGGGCGGCGUAGAUAUAUAAAUAAACUGUCUAUAUUUUAAAUACAGUAGUUGUUGAUUAAUAAUGUUGAUCCUUAAAAAGAUUAAAAGAUUAAGAUACUUUAGGGAUAACAGCGUUAUUUUUUCUGAGAGUUCUUAUCGAAGAAAAAGUUUGCGACCUCGAUGUUGAAUUAAAGUAUCUUUAUGGUGUAGUCGCUAUAAGAGAGAGUCUGUUCGACUUUUAAUACUUUACGUGAUCU
RNAcentral lists this ribosomal RNA (521 nucleotides) under Pagurus hirsutiusculus (hairy hermit crab). RNAcentral's name for it is "partial 16S ribosomal RNA". It matches the Rfam family "Bacterial large subunit ribosomal RNA", at positions 1832 to 2606 of the family's 2925-position model. Lineage: Eukaryota; Metazoa; Arthropoda; Malacostraca; Decapoda; Paguridae. The record is from RNAcentral.